Molecule: transfer RNA, 71 nt
Filed under: Marmota monax (woodchuck)
Lineage: Eukaryota; Metazoa; Chordata; Mammalia; Rodentia; Sciuridae
Description: tRNA.Val
Source: RNAcentral
GGGGUUGUGGCUCAGCGGUAGAGCGCUCGCCUAACACGUGCGGGGAGCUGGGUUUGAUCCUCAGCACCACA